GUAUAUAUGACUUGUAUUGAUCAAAGACCAAUUUGGAUACACACAUUCAUAAGACUAUCAAAGAGUUUGUGUAAGACAUAGGGCUACAAAGUUGAAAGCAAGCAAAACAAACAAAAUGAAUGAAUGCAUAAAGCCUUCUAAACCUUAUCAUAGCCUACAAUAGGGUGCACAGUGGAGAGUUAGAAAAAGCGAUAUAGCGAGCACAUACUCCUAAGGGAGUCAGCUCAACUAACUACGCAUUUCUUCAGUAAUGAUCCUUCCGCAGGUUCACCUACGGAAA
RNAcentral lists this unclassified non-coding RNA (280 nucleotides) under uncultured fungus. Its description in RNAcentral is "sequence contains ITS1". Lineage: Eukaryota; Fungi. The record is from RNAcentral.